GCGCCGGUAGCUCAGGGGAUAGAGCAUCGGAUUUCUAAUCCGACGGUCGGGGGUUCGAAUCCUCCCCGGCGCGCCA
This 76-nucleotide transfer RNA is filed under the name Planctomycetes bacterium SM23_32. RNAcentral's name for it is "tRNA-Arg". It matches the Rfam family "tRNA". From Rfam's summary of the family: Transfer RNA (tRNA) molecules are approximately 80 nucleotides in length. The record is from RNAcentral. RNAcentral also lists the same sequence under 2 other names. Lineage: Bacteria; Pseudomonadati; Planctomycetota.